Molecule: long non-coding RNA, 1344 nt
Organism: Myxocyprinus asiaticus (Chinese sucker)
Lineage: Eukaryota; Metazoa; Chordata; Actinopteri; Cypriniformes; Catostomidae
Exons: 5
Source: RefSeq, a predicted model, not a curated record
UUCUUUUGUCACUUGACAGCCGUGUAUGCUAUGCACUGCUCACACAGGAAACAGAAAUUAUUAGUUCACCUCUCGAGUCAACUGGUCUGAGUACGCUAGUAUACGGCUGUCACGUGACAAAAGAACGAACGACUCGAAAAGAAGAUUCAAUCCAGAGCGUACUUGGCACCAAUCUCUUGGAGCAUGCACAUCUGAUUCUCGAGGAGAGGAGUAAGGAGAAAUUUGGGCACAGUCAUACAGUCUGAAGAAACUGCAAAGAGUCCGUGUCAGGGGAGUUUGCUGUCAUUGAUGAGGAUGCAUCUUUGAGGGACAAGUAAAUAUUUUGCAUGAACUAUAAGGCAGGAUGCUACCAGAUACUUUGAUUGUUAAAUGCUGCAAACUUUUUCAUGGAGGAGAAGUUUAUGUGAUGAAAUUGACUGAAUACAUUCAUCAACUGUCCAGUUCUUCAAGGAGAGCUUUACUAGUAUUGUGCAUGAGUUUGCACAAAGAAAAAUCCUUUUGGCCAAAAUAUACAUUGAAGCAAGAGAGGAGAUGCUUGCAGAAGAUCUUCUAGUGUGAUGCUGAUACACCAUAUGAAAAUGGCUUUCACCAGGAUGGUUCAAGUCCUGAUCAAAUGGAUGGUGUGCAGGGGAAUAAGAAUCAAAGAGGGGGUAAUUGCAGCCUUCAGUGCAUACUUUCACCCUGUAUAAAAAAUAUGCUCACUUCCUGCAAUGUGCUAUAGCAAAGAUAUGAGUCAAGAAUCAUUCAAAGAGGUCAUGUGUUCCAGAAGAGACUAUUAACACCGAAAAAUAAAAAUUGUCACAUUUUACUCACCCUCAUGAUGUUUCAAACCUGUAUGACUUUCUUUUCUUAUGUGAGGACAGAAAAGGAGAUAUUUUUAAUGAAUAUAACAGCCCACCCUUUCAAUGCAAUGGCAGUGGAAAGAGGCUCAGUUUACAGCUUAGAGGACACAAAGGAUGUCAUAAAGGUAGUCCAUGUGACUUGUGCGUCUAAUUUCAAGUUGUCUGAAGGCAUACGGUAAUUUAUUUUUUGUGAGAAACAACCUGAAAUGAGAGAAGCUCCUUCAAAGUGGUUUGAGUGUUCACAUGUUCAUUUUGUUCUUUUUUUAAGUUUUAAAGUGAGGGACUGUCAACUGCCGUUGUGUUGAAAAGAUAGCCUGUGAUGUUCAUUAAAACCUAGCCUUUUAUGUGCUCCUAAAAUGUAUUUUUGGGUGAGUAUUAAAGGGUACUUAAGUUAAAAUUAAAUAUGUAUCCUACUGUAUUUGAUGACAAAUUGUGAUUCUGAGAUGUUUAAAGUGUUCAUUCUGUGACAUUGUGAACAAAAAUGUGGAAUUAUUGAAUGUUU